AGGACGAACGCUGGCGGCGUGCUUAACACAUGCAAGUCGAACGGAAAGGCCCUUUCGGGGGUACUCGAGUGGCGAACGGGUGAGUAACACGUGGGUGAUCUGCCCUGCACUUCGGGAUAAGCUUGGGAAACUGGGUCUAAUACCGGAUAGGACUACGGACUUCAUGGUUUGUGGUGGAAAGCUUUUGCGGUGUGGGAUGGGCCCGCGGCCUAUCAGCUUGUUGGUGGGGUGAUGGCCUACCAAGGCGACGACGGGUAGCCGGCCUGAGAGGGUGUCCGGCCACACUGGGACUGAGAUACGGCCCAGACUCCUACGGGAGGCAGCAGUGGGGAAUAUUGCACAAUGGGCGCAAGCCUGAUGCAGCGACGCCGCGUGGGGAUGACGGCUCGGUUGUAACCUCUUCACCAUCGGCGAGCCGGAGCUUUGUUCUGGUGACGGUAGGUGGAGAGAGCACGGCACUACGUGCCAGCAGCCGCGGU
This 479-nucleotide ribosomal RNA is filed under the name uncultured bacterium. RNAcentral describes it as "SSU rRNA". It matches the Rfam family "Bacterial small subunit ribosomal RNA", at positions 26 to 521 of the family's 1533-position model. The record is from RNAcentral.